RNAcentral lists this ribosomal RNA (484 nucleotides) under uncultured bacterium. RNAcentral's name for it is "partial 16S ribosomal RNA". It matches the Rfam family "Bacterial small subunit ribosomal RNA", at positions 29 to 507 of the family's 1533-position model. The record is from RNAcentral.
AUUGAACGCUGGCGGCAUGCUUUACACAUGCAAGUCGAACGGCAGCGCGGGCUUCGGCCUGGCGGCGAGUGGCGAACGGGUGAGUAAUACAUCGGAACGUGCCCAGUAGUGGGGGAUAGCUCGGCGAAAGCCGGAUUAAUACCGCAUACGACCUGAGGGUGAAAGCGGGGGAUCUUCGGACCUCGCGCUAUUGGAGCGGCCGAUGGCAGAUUAGCUAGUUGGUGGGGUAAAGGCCUACCAAGGCGACGAUCUGUAGCUGGUCUGAGAGGACGACCAGCCACACUGGAACUGAGACACGGCCCAGACUCCUACGGGAGGCAGCAGUGGGGAAUUUUGGACAAUGGGCGAAAGCCUGAUCCAGCAAUGCCGCGUGUGUGAUGAAGGCCUUCGGGUUGUAAAGCACUUUUGGCGGGAAAGAAAAGGACUGUGCCAAUACCACGGUUCGAUGACGGUACCCGCAGAAUAAGCACCGGCUAACUACGUG